This 74-nucleotide transfer RNA is filed under the name Sarcina sp. Its description in RNAcentral is "tRNA-Leu". It matches the Rfam family "tRNA". Rfam says of the family: Transfer RNA (tRNA) molecules are approximately 80 nucleotides in length. Their secondary structure includes four short double-helical elements and three loops (D, anti-codon, and T loops). RNAcentral also lists the same sequence under 1 other name. Lineage: Bacteria; Bacillati; Bacillota; Clostridia; Eubacteriales; Clostridiaceae. The record is from RNAcentral.
GCUCCCGUAUCCCAAUUGGAAGAGGAGUCCGGCUUAAACCCGGUUCAGCGAGAGUUCGAACCUCUCCGGGAGUA